UACGGGGGGAGCAAGCGUUGUUCGGAUUUACUGGGCGUAAAGGGCGCGUAGGCGGUCGUGACAAGUCACUUGUGAAAUCUCCGGGCUUAACUCGGAACGGUCAAGUGAUACUGUCGGACUAGAGUACAGAAGGGGCAACUGGAAUUCUCGGUGUAGCGGUGAAAUGCGUAGAUAUCGGGAGGAACACCAGUGGCGAAGGCGACUACCUGGCCUGUUCUUGACGCUGAGGCGCGAAAGCUAGGGGAGCAAACGGG
RNAcentral lists this ribosomal RNA (254 nucleotides) under uncultured bacterium. RNAcentral's name for it is "partial 16S ribosomal RNA". It matches the Rfam family "Bacterial small subunit ribosomal RNA", at positions 524 to 776 of the family's 1533-position model. The record is from RNAcentral.